RNAcentral lists this ribosomal RNA (253 nucleotides) under uncultured bacterium. RNAcentral's name for it is "partial 16S ribosomal RNA". It matches the Rfam family "Bacterial small subunit ribosomal RNA", at positions 524 to 776 of the family's 1533-position model. The record is from RNAcentral.
UACGAAGGGGGCUAGCGUUGCUCGGAAUCACUGGGCGUAAAGGGUGCGUAGGCGGGUCUUUAAGUCAGGGGUGAAAUCCUGUAGCUCAACUCCAGAACUGCCUUUGAUACUGAGGAUCUUGAGUUCGGGAGAGGUGAGUGGAACUGCGAGUGUAGAGGUGAAAUUCGUAGAUAUUCGCAAGAACACCAGUGGCGAAGGCGGCUCACUGGCCCGAUACUGACGCUGAGGCACGAAAGCGUGGGGAGCAAACGGG